Helianthus annuus (common sunflower) is the source of this 1583-nucleotide long non-coding RNA. RefSeq lists it as uncharacterized. The record is from RefSeq and is a predicted model, not a curated record. Lineage: Eukaryota; Viridiplantae; Streptophyta; Magnoliopsida; Asterales; Asteraceae. The transcript has 5 exons.
UCUAAAUUUUCAUUUCCCUACCCAAAAAUCAUUUCCCUCCUACCGAAAUCAAUAUGAAUUUUUAUUUCCCUCCUACAAGAUUCAUUUCCCCCAAUCAAUUCAAAUGAAAGACCCAAGCUUCCUUUUACAUACUCAACCUUUGAACCGCAACCCUAAUCCCUAACAAUCAAGGAUGAUGAUGGUGGUUAUGACAGUGGUUCUGGUUGUAAUGUUACAGCGACUAAUGUUUAGAUCGAAGGUGAUGGUGUCGUGAAGGAGGGUGUGCGGGAGAGGUGGUUGUUGACGGUGGGUAAGAGCUGUGGAGGUUUUCGUCAACUUCCUCUAUUCCAUUCGGGAUUCGCCUUUGCCUGAGACAAGGGGCGUAUGCCUUUCUGAAGAGCUGACCGUUGCAACUGUACGCCUUUUAAAAACUUAAUAGUUGAUAGAAUGAUACUUGUUAUUUGUUACUUCGCUUUUACGUAUUAAUUAGAUUAUAUUUGUAUAAUUUUAUUGCCUUUCUGAAGAGCUGACCAAGAAUCGAUGGCAGUUGGUUUGUUGGAAUGAGAACUCUGCAUCACAAGCUUACAUGUAGAUGUGAAGUUACCGCCAUUCUUGUUCUAUAUGUCUUCCAAGGUUGCCGCUAAUUGGAUCCAUUCUUGCUCAUGAGCUGAUGCAUGGUUGGUUAUGAUAUAACGGUAACUAAAAAAGUUUCUAUUUUUCUUUCAAGAAAUUAAAAAAAGACUUGAAUCGUGAAAUUUCACAUUUUCCAUAUUAACUCUUCUUAAUGUUCAUGACCUGAUGCAUGGCUGGUUACGCCACAUUGCUCGCGAAAUCAAAAGUGAAAGUGAAAAUCAUGCAUAAAAUAGAAUCGGAAAUGAAGUUGAAAGCUUUGAGGUGAAUUUAAGCAAGACGCCUUGUAGUUCUAGUGAAUGCAGGCACACUUACUUUGAGCUGCUGAAGUUAAAAAGCCAUUGAGUGGAUAAUGUCGUAUCUUGAUGGUCACUAUGUUGUUGGACUGAAUCAAACCACAACAGCACCGGUUCCAACAAAGGUAACCAAGCUUAAUCCAUCUUCUUUAUUAGUUGUCGAUGAGACAUCGAAUCAGACAAACCCCAAAGGUGCAGUUGUAGAUGCUACUUAUAACUAUAAUGCUUCAUCUUUCGUAACAAACUCUAGUACAAAUGAUGAAAACAAAGGAGAUGCAUCAGACACAUCUUUUUGUAAGAAGGAUAUUCGUCCAAAGGCGAACAAGUUGCCGGUAGGACCACGCAUGGUGAGAAAUCGGGAUUUUCCAAGAUGCACUUACGAUGAAAAUUUACCAAUCACAAAGAACUUUAACGCAAUAGGAAGUUGAUAAAAAAUGUUGAAGGCAUGCCAUGCUCUAUUAUCUGAUCAUAGUUUUUGCAUCACUAUCAAGUCAAAAAGGAGUGAGUUCAUAGACAUGAAGAAAACAACCUAUAAAUAGUUUUAGUUUAUGUGUGUUGUCAUUUCUUUUUUCAACUUUUGUAGAUAGAUUUUAUCAGAGGUUUUUUAUUAGUCUUAAGUUGAAAACUUAUGUAUCAAUUUUGUUUUAUUAUUGUUAAUAUAAUUUGGUUUUAGGUUUU